AGAAAAAAAAAAAAAAAGAAGUUGGACUCUGAAAAAUAUUGAUCGGAUUAUGAAUUUUGAUUUAGAUAUUAGAAAUUUUCAAUACAUAGAAUUGUGAUUAAUUUUGCAAGUGUGGAAUGAACUUGUGUGGCAUCUAAGUUUGAAACUUUAGCUUUAUAUAACUGAGAUAAGAAAGUUAAAAGUAUAUUGAUUGGACUAGGAAAUUUUAUUUGUGGAUUACAAAUUCCUAAGACUUAGAAAUAUAGUUAGGAUCGAUGGCUAUGAAUACAUAUUUUUUGAGAUAAAUGUGAACCCAAAAUUAAUUAUGGAAAUUGAACUUAUGAAAAUGAAUUUUAUAAGUAGUAUAGAGUAUAGUUAUAGUUAAGUUUUGAUCGUAAUUUUAGCAAGGCUAUAGAAAACUAUAGGAACAUGAUAUCUUAAAAGAUUUGCUAAAGAACUAUAUAUUCUUUUGAGUAAGUAAACUGAAAAGAUUAUGUACAUAUGUUUUUAGGAAUAUAAUUUAAAGUAACCAAAUUUUUCUAAAUAUACAUGUCUUAAAUUUCUUUCAUACAAAUUUCGAGGACGAAAUUUUUUUAAGAGGGGUAGUAAUGUAACACCCCAAAUUUUAUAAACUAGUAUUUUCUUUAUAUUAUUAAUUUAAGUAUUUUUAUAAAAUAAAUUUGAUGAUUUAGUUAUAUUUUCACAAUAGUUUGUGAAAAUAAUUUAUUUAAAGAGUAUACAAUAUCAUGUUAGUCCUAGUUAUAUGUCUAAAGCGUGAGAAUGUUUAAAUAAUUAUUUUCUUGAAAAUAAACUUUAGAUAAAGAAAACCUAUAGAUCUAAUCUAUUAAUUAAAUGUAAACUAUGGUUGAAAUUUUAGAACUGAGAGUGUAAAAGUAUACACCGUUAAAAAUAAAUAGUUUAUAAAAAUAUGUUGGAAAUAAAUAGUUUAUUUCCGAAUUAUUUUAUGUGUGCUUUGAUAGUAUAUUUAUUUUGUGUAGACUGAUAAUUAAUAUUUUCUCUAGACUGUGAAUUUAAGAAAAAUAAUUUUAGAAAUCAAUCAUGAAAUAUUUCAGUAGACUAUGAUAAAAGUUUGGGCUUAAAAUUCAACCGGAUUUCUGACAGUUGUUUACUCAACAGUAUAAUUUUAAUCCCAGAAAAAGAAAAGAAAAACAUCUUUUAGACCAGAAAAAUAUCUAUGUUAUUAAAAUUAAAUGAAAAAUAAAAUGAAAGAUUAAGAGAUAAGCAUGCAUUUAAUUUUAAGAUAAGAACUACACCUAUGCAUACAAGGUGGCUAAUUUUUCUUCACAAAUUGAAAGUGAAAACGUGGACUGAGAAUUUACCAUGUAGCAGUAGAAUUAGAAAUCUAUAAAUAGGGUCUUAACAUUCACUUUUUACACACAAUUAUCACUCUCACAACUCACAAAAAGCUAGGAAUUUCAAUUAAGGUAUCAUAGAAGAAGGCGAUCGUUCAAGUUAUUUUGGAAAGCUCUGAGUUAGUGCAGGAUACUAAGACCUCAAGUUGAAGUUCAUUGAAAAAAAGAAAAAUGGCAUUGUGAGAGACAUUAAAAUAAAGAACGUUAGUGCUGAUUGGUGGUCUAGUUUUAUUUUCGAAGUCCGAAGAGAAAAAUCUCUUUGAUAUGUAUUGAUGACGUCAUUGGAGUACUCUCUAGGUGACAUGUAUCUUUAGUGUUUGACCAGCUUGUGAUCAUUUGUGGGUUAGAGUCUUUUGUAGGAAUUUAUUUUUUAUCAUUUUAAAUUGAAAAAUUGUACGAUACUUAUGUGAAAUGGAAAUGUUUUAUAUUUGAAAA
This is a long non-coding RNA of Trifolium pratense (red clover), 1787 nucleotides long. RefSeq lists it as uncharacterized. Lineage: Eukaryota; Viridiplantae; Streptophyta; Magnoliopsida; Fabales; Fabaceae. The transcript has 3 exons. The record is from RefSeq and is a predicted model, not a curated record.